Molecule: long non-coding RNA, 1542 nt
Organism: Physcomitrium patens
Lineage: Eukaryota; Viridiplantae; Streptophyta; Bryopsida; Funariales; Funariaceae
Source: RefSeq, a predicted model, not a curated record
CAUGCUGGUUUCCCUGCUCAGUCCGGCACUGAGGCCAGUCAUUCAGCCAUCGGAUUCUUGUGGCAACGUACCCUGUAACAUUAGCUUCCCACUUGCAGAAGUUGGAAGUGCUCGAAAUUGUAAGGAAGGCACGUGCCACUGCAGGAACUUCCACAGAUCCACUUGCAUAGCGAUCCGUAGAGGGUCUGAUUGACGUGGUGCUGACUUAGAUAUCGAAAGAUUGUUGGGGACAGAAGAAGAAUCGCUGGUCACGGAGCAGGCAGUACACGACGGUGUCUGAUUCCACACUACUGGUGGUGGUGGUUGUUCAUCCGGAGAGAGAUCGAUCUUCAGUGGAGCCACACUGUCGCCGUCACAGUAGGAAUCUAGUUGUCAGUGCGGAUGUGAGGUGGUUGAUGUGCGUGGACAUGUUUUGGCAGCAGUGGGUGGUGUGUUAGGACGGAUAGAACAAGGCCUGUUGUUGUUUGGCUGCAGUACCGGGGAUAUGCAGUGGUUUAGACAUUUCUGUGCGAGUUACAUUCCUGGGGCUUGUUGUAAGUUUUGUUACAAUGGAGCUGGCGGAGUUGGAGUUGGACUCCAGGAGCAUGGUUUGGUCUGUGGUGCUCAAGGCUUAUGUUGUGUCGCUUCUACUGCUUCUUUCAGUGCUGGUUUGGUCCGUGGGCGAUGUCUGGUUGCAAUACGUGCAGGAUGUCUUCACGUCAGCCUGCGUUAGUAUCCAUUACAGCUUGUCGCGGUCGAGUUCAUCGUCGUAACUGUGCUCCCUUUCUUCUCGAGUUUUUCGUAAGUUAGCCUGCAUCAGUGUCAGAAAAAUUGUAUUCCUGGCUGUUACUGGUUUCUCUCAAGAGGAAUCAUGGUAGUGCACUGUUCAUGCCAAGAGGUAUGGCGGUGAAACAUCUCCGAUUCUUAUGACGCUGUCACAGAUCCUGUCAUAUAGGCGCUCUGAGAAUGUGGCUUGCAUUCUCUGUAGAAUACUGUCUCAAGAUAUAGGGAUAUUGAGCGGGACAUUGAUUGAAAGUCUCAACGAUCAUCAAAAUAUGGUUGCCAUGGUUCUGUCCGCAAAAAGUCUUUUGCAUGCUUCUAGUAAGGACCCUGAAGGAGAUGAAGGUGACUAUAAGAUCCUACCCAUCAAGAGGACCUUGGUUCCCUCGCAUAAGACAAAACUAUAAACAGAAUGCAGUAGCUCUUGGAGGAACGAGGAGGCUGCUACAUGUAACAUGUAGUGUCUGCAGAGACCUCUUCUGAUGCUGUUGCAAGAGAGAAAUUAUUGUACAAGGACUGGGAACUUUUUGAAGAAAUCAAGGUUCCUUCAAAUAUAUUUCUGUCAUGUUAACAUCGUGUGUCCAAGGGAAAGACCAUAGUUAAGCUUGAUGGGGUUGCAAUUACUGUGUGGGUGUCACCAUUUUUCAAAGAGAUUACAAUUCGUGAUUUUUGUGAAUGUCACCACCAUAGUUUGUACAUCAAUGUUCACCCUUUCUUGCUCUCUUUACAAAGACAACAAUGCUCAACUUGUAUAAUUAUAUAUUCCUCUAUUCCUCAUCUUCC